This 637-nucleotide ribosomal RNA is filed under the name uncultured eukaryote. RNAcentral describes it as "eukaryotic LSU rRNA". The stretch from base 226 to 379 matches the Rfam family "5.8S ribosomal RNA". The record is from RNAcentral.
UAAAAGUCGUAACAAGGUUUCCGUAGGUGAACCUGCGGAAGGAUCAUUACCGUUUGUCUUUUGACUAACACCACUGUGAACUGUUCUAAGCAAGUGGGGUAACCUCUCGGUUUUAAAUGUGCUACUCUGUAGUGCUGCCCCAUUUGUGCAACCAAUUUGUGUAUUUUUACGCACUUGUUUUCUCAUGUAUUGGAAUCUCACGAUUUCAAUGAAUCUAAACGUGACAACUUCUAACGGUGGAUCUCUUGGCUCGUGCAUCGAUGAAGAACGUAGCCAGUUGCGAUAAGUAGUGUGAAUUGCAGAAUUCAGUGAAUCAUCGAAUCUUUGAACGCAAAUUGCGCUUUCCGGAUAUCCGGGGAGCAUGCCUGUCUGAGCGUCGUUUAAUAAUCUACACACCUCGGUGUGGGUAGGGAGUUCAUGUGACCUGUUUCAGGACGCCUGUCUCUCGAUGUGUCUGAACCUUGCUCGUACUUGCUUAUGUACUUGCUAGGAAGGCUCAACUUGCUUCUGUCCUUCUAAAGCUUCGUACUUGCUUGUUAAGCUUGUGUUCUCUGAGUUCUCUUCACGAGUUCUCGCUCACAAUUUUGACCUCAGAUCAGACAAGACUACCCGCUGAAUUUAAGCAUAUCAAUAAGCG